UGAGGAAUAUUGGACAAUGGAGGCAACUCUGAUCCAGCCAUGCCGCGUGAAGGACUAAGGCCCUAUGGGCUGUAAACUUCUUUAGACGCAGAGCAAUAAGGGCCACGCGUGGUCCGAUGAGAGUAUGCGUAGAAUAAGCAUCGGCUAACUCCGUGCCAGCAGCCGCGGUAAUACGGGGGAUGCGAGCGUUAUCCGGAUUCAUUGGGUUUAAAAGGGUGCGUAGGCGGCUUUGCAAGUCAGCGGUGAAAGGCCCGGGCUCAACCCGGAAAGUGCCGUUGAUACUGUGAGGCUGGAAUGCGGAUGCUGUGGGAGGAAUGAGUGGUGUAGCGGUGAAAUGCAUAGAUAUGCCACAGAACACCGAUAGCGAAGGCAGCUGGCCGGGCCUGCAUUGACGCUGAGGCACGAAAGCGUGGGGGAUCGAACAGGAUUAGAUACCCUGGUAGGU
RNAcentral lists this ribosomal RNA (445 nucleotides) under uncultured bacterium. RNAcentral describes it as "bacterial SSU rRNA". It matches the Rfam family "Bacterial small subunit ribosomal RNA", at positions 355 to 795 of the family's 1533-position model. The record is from RNAcentral.